This is a small nuclear RNA of Lytechinus pictus (painted urchin), 189 nucleotides long. RefSeq annotates it as U2 spliceosomal RNA. The record is from RefSeq and is a predicted model, not a curated record. NCBI's taxonomy places the organism in Eukaryota, Metazoa, Echinodermata, Echinoidea, Temnopleuroida, Toxopneustidae. The transcript has a single exon.
AUCGCUUCUCAGCCUUUUGGCUAUGAUCAUGUGUAGUAGUCCCAUGUAGCGCUGCCCCUAUAAAAAAAAAUUGUCCUGAUUGUAAUAGUAUAGCAAUCUAUGAUAUUUAGGAUUUUAUAUAAUUAAAUUUAUUAUUUCUGUAAUCAGAUCAUGCCUGCAUUAUCAAUACAUCUGCGUGUGUGACCAUAC